AAGAUAAGGCCUGACUUCUGCUCCCGCGGAGUGUCCGGGUUCAAAACCGCCUGCCGGCUCCUCGGGUGUUUGAGGAGUGUUGAAAUGGGAGGUGGCCCCCCAUCUUAUGGGCGGUGUAGGACGUGAUAAUAUCAACUUGCGAGCUGACCAGGAACUAAGUCGAGGGGCCGUUGAUCCGCUAGAUUUGGUUGGAUGCUGGUGAUGAGUUGCUGAACCCAACGAAUACAUUCUGAAGUCGGAUGGGGUGAAUGGAUUAGGGUGCAUCUCUAGCAGCGGAGAGCAGGGAACUGCCUCCAAGGGAAAGGGGGCCGCUGGUGAAGCUAUACCACCCUGUAGCCGCUGGUGAAGCUAUACCACCCUGUAACAACAUCAUACAGUGAUACAAGUUGAGGGAAUUCCAAACAGACUGAACUGCAUUACUGCCUAGAUAGGGGUCAUACAUACAUAUAUACAUAAAUGUGUUUUACAACGUGUUUUCGAGUUGCGUUACCCGACUCCAAAGUUGUAGUAACGCCCGCCCGUACGAGGACCCUGAGAAGGGCCCCAAGGGCCGAAGGCGAAUAUCGUCAUGGCGUACAUAACAUGUAUGUAUAUCCAUACCUAUACAUCCAUCCAUACCUAUCGCCACAGCUCUCACCUGCCGCCGUCACGGUCGCGGUCACGGUCGCGUCCCCGAUCUCGAUCUCGAUCCCCCACCUGUACAUAGAGAGGGGAAAGGAGGUGAGGGGGAGGGGGGAACAGAGGGGACAUACGUUGCAAUGCGAAGGUGAGCCCAAUGCAAUUAAGGGAGGAUGUGCCACCACCAGCACCAGCUGCACCACCCCAUCUGUCAUACCAGACCACAGAGAGAGCGCCACUCGUGGGGGCUGUCAGGUAGGCAGGUGUGUGGAUACGUAAGGGCGUAUGUAUGUAUAUGAAAGGCCUCCGAAGAACCCACUUUGUUCGUCUGUCUGUCUGUCUGUCUGUCCGUCCAGACGAUAUUCAGCCCGGGGGGCCCCGAGGUCCGCCAGUUCCGCGAUCUGCCAGCACACCACCCACCCGUCCAGCCGCCACUCACCUCCUUGCCCCUAUCUCCCCCUCCCCCACGGGGCCCCCGGUCGUCUCUCUCCUUCAACGCAGCAGGGCGGCAGGAGGGAGGGAGGGAGGGAGGGAGGGAGGCAGGAGGAAAAGAAGAACCCAAGCAAGUAAGUCAUCCCUAGCGACGCAAAAGCGGCAAAGGAAAGGGAGGAUCGAGGCUAUGAUGUUCAGGCCUGCUGCCGAAGGGUCCCCACCCCGACCCCACUCUGAGGGACUUGACAUAAGCCCCACCACUUCGCGACGGAGGACCCACAAGCACAGUGACAAGGAACCCACUCGCGAAUUCCCACGAGUCAGCACCCCCGGGGUAUUACGGGUUUUCCUUAAGGUAGUGUAUUCUAAUUUCGGGAGCAACUCCUCGUCGCAUGCACAGCGAUCCGCUUUUCUGGUAGGGAUACAUACAUACACCAGGGUUUGGAACUACUGGUAACGCGCGACCAUUGCCCCCGGGAGAUCCCGGGAUCGAUACCCAUUAGGGUCAAAAGUCCUUCCGAUGGUGGAAGGCAUUGCGCCCCUAGUUGAUGGACGGUGGUGACCUGGGAUAAAGUUAACCUGCGAGCCGACCAGGAAUGGAGUUGGGCCGCUGUCGACCCGGCAGAUUCCAUUGGAUGCUGGUGGUGGGUGCGGAACCUGAGCGAUCCACUGAGAAGUUGACUAGGGUGACUGGAUGAGGGUGCCCCGAAAUACCGGGGAAGGCAGGGUUUCGCAGGGUAGCUGCCAUGGGCGAAGAUACACCCCCCUGUUUCAUACAUCAUACAGCCAAAGAUACAUACAUACAGCCAAACACACAGGUGAACCGCUUGCCUCCACGGACAGUCGCAUACAGUAUUUCCAUACGUAUUUUCCAUACACCCCUUCACCCCGACCCCUCUACAACCACGCACACCCACAUACCUUGCUCUCGCGCUCCUUGUCGAAGCGGCCACCACCACCACCACCACCACCUCCUCGUUCUUCAUAGUACUCAUUGUGGCCUCGAUCCCGUUGCUGCUGGGGCUGGGGCUGCUGGAGGGGCUGCUGCUGCUCCUUCUCCCCUUUUUGGUACUCCCGAUGCUCUCCUCCUCCUCCUCCUCCUCCUCCCUUGCCAUCCCCAGCCCCCCUCUGCUGCCGCUGCUGCUGCUGCUGCUGCUCCUUCUCCCCUCGCUCCUUGAUGUCUCGCUGGUCCUUCUCCUUCUCCAACCCCUCUCGACGCGAUGGGGGUGACGGGCCCCCACCGCCGUCCACAUCCUGCUGUCUGACCUUCUCCCUCUCCUUCUCUCUUGCGGCCCCACCCCCCGCUCCCUUCUCCGACUUCCGGUCCUUGUGGUCGCUACCUCCUCUACCCCCCGGCCCCGCUGGAGGAUUACUGCUCGCAUCCCUCUCACCACCCCCCUUGUUGUCCGUCCCGGUCCCCCGGUCCCGCUGAUUCCCCUCACGACCGCCACUGGUGCUGCUGGGGGCCGCUGCGGGCGGCGGCUGGGGCUGCUGCGGCUCCCGCUCACGUUCGCGGUCCCUGUCCCUGUCCCGGCCCCGUUGCUUCUCCUUCUCUCUGUCCCCGGUGCUUCUGGGAGCAGCAGAACCACCACCACCACCACCAGCGGCAGCAGCGGCCUGGGAGUCCUUGAUAUCCCCACGGGCCCCUCGCUCGGCGCGGCCCUCCCGCCUGCCAGGGAUGACACACGCACACGCAAUCACCCAUAACCGCUCAUGCACGGAGGAAUACACAAACGUGUGUGUGUGGUGGGGGGGGGGGGGAGAGAGGGCAAAGGCCCACUGAAGGGCAAGAACUGGCACAUCCAGCGGCUUCGCACACCUGGCAUUACCACUGGACAAUUCCUAAGGAUCCCUAGGUUUUCGUGCGCGCAGCAAGCCUCUAACGAGCAUAUGUGCGGGAUUGGUCCCAAGAGGCGGUAUACCUUAAUCCCAUUCAACCCCCUGCAUGUCUCUUGACUUAACCCUCCCCCCUUUCCCCAACACGCGCGCACACACACACAGAGGCACCCCUGCCAUCUUCCCUUCCCUCCCUUCCCCGUUCCCCUCGCCACACACACCUGCCAUCCUUGCCGUCCUUGCGCUCCCUCUCCUGGUGGACCUCUUCGCCCACCGACUUACCGUACCCGCCCUUCUCCAGGGGGGCGCCCCCCGUUCCCCCAGCAGACGGGGGAAGGGAUUCCCUGCUGACAGCAGCCGCAUCCACGUCCUUAGCCCCCUGCUGCUCUUGAGAGGCAGUGGCAGUGGUGGUGGCGGUAGCAGCAGCGGUGGAGGAGGGGUUGUUGUCGUCUGUUCGUACGGCGCGUGGCUCCCAGACGAUGGCUGGGCGCUUGCGAGCUGUGGAUUGUUAGUUUUAUCAUAAGCGAAGGGGCGCACGUGUGGGAAAAGGUGGGGUAGGGCGUACGGUGGGGUGAGGUGGGGUGGGGUGGGUAGUAGUGGGCGGGUGGGGUGGUGAAGCGCAGGAAAGGAGGAGGGUUUAGUGGCUUCGGGACAACGUUUGGCCGGAUUGGCGUGAGCUGUGGUGGCAUGGACCGGGAAGAUUGUGGUAUGUAUGGAUGAAUGGACCGAUUGACAAGAUGGAUUGGGGUAGGAAGGUGGGUGAGUGAGUGAUGGGCUUUUGGAAAGAAAGCUCCCGGCGGCAGUGCAGGCGCACGUGAUACCCGUUCCGCGUGCGGGCUCUGCAAAGAGUGAAUCACAGGGCCUGGGUGGUGAUAAGGGUUGAAGGGUGCCCAACUAGGGCGGUUCGAAGAGCUAGAACGGGGCCCCCCUCUUACGUCUCUCGACCUCCUUAUCCGAGGUCUCCCCACGGCGCUUGCCAGAGGCUUCUGCAUCCGACUUCCGCUCACGCUCUCGCUGGCGUGAAUCAUCCCUGCAGGUGCAGCCGUGUCAUGUUUGCGGGCCUGAUCUCAGUUGGCUUGGGCCGGGCAGCUUCCUCACCUUGCAGCAGGGCGCUCUUCCCCAGGGUUCUCUGUAAGGCAACACAUCAUUAAACUGAGUCAUGCGCGCGGCGAAGGAGGUUACCAGGAGAGCCAUUUUACAGUAUCCGACGGCGAAACAUACGACAAAGCUUCUGCACACAAACGGGCCAUUGGUCACAAGUUUCAUCCCAUUCUUACCACGGGGACUGGAAAGUCGUUCGAACACGCUUGGCUUUUUUUCUUUGACAGCAUCCUCUUUGACGUCCCCUUUUUCGCCCUUCCCACGCUUGUCUCCUUUCCCUCGACUUCGGCCCAUACUUGAGAUUAUUUCUCGUAUCAGGAUUCGACCACGACAGCUUCUAGUGACAUCAACUAUCGAGUUGCGGAAGGCACCCCCGUAAGCCCAAUUAUAAACGAUUUAAUUGAAAAUAGCAAUUAAGCUUUAUGAGUACACAAUUAGUUUUUCUGAUCUUUGAGGGUCGAUUACCUACCAGGCUUGACAAUAUGUUCGGGCGUACCAUAUCACAGCAUUCUUCAUGUUUAUUGCACGAGACAUUCUUUGCCGCUUAUGCCGCAUAAAAGUAUUCUGCCACGGCAAUAAGUUGCCGACAAUGAAGUUUUGUUAAGCUUUACUCCCAGCCUCCGUCAAAAGGAGUAGAUCAUGCUUGCAUCCCCUCUUAUGGCUUAUUGAAUCAGAAUUUAGUUCGAUAGAUUUUAGUCCGAAGCGUUGCGAUAAGUUUGCCUGUGUUCUUGAAAUGGCGGACUUUCGCAAACUACUUCCUGGCAGCCUGGCCGACGCUGCAAACCAAGAAGCAUUGACGGUGGAACAAUGCGCAGGUAGGAUCCAUGGCCGCCAGUAGCCUAUGCGGCAUCUGCAUUGGCAACACCGUGUAAGUUCUGCACCUUUUGACAAAAGCAGGAGCACGAGGCAGACCUCGCCGUGCAGCAGCGGCAGCUGCAGCUGACGUUCUCGUGGCGACGGCAUUGGAGGAGGAAGAAGAUGAAGACGACAGCUGUCCGGGCCCACGACGCGCAUCUAAACGCCGAGACGUUAGGACCGCCCGCUCUAGCUACGCCAGCAGCUAUUGUGUCCAGGCUUCAAACCUUGGCGUCAAUCCACCUGCCAGUAUGGAGGCUGUGGUCCCAACGCGCGACCCUUUCCCACAGGGGUUUCAACAUCAGGUCAACGACCCCGGCCUGGCCCCAAGACACCCCAGCGGCGUGCUUGCCACCGCCGCGUCUGCAGCCGGGCUUCCUUUUCCCUCAGUCGCGACCGCAGCCGCAGCCAUGCAAGCAGCCAACAUGCAGGCAACCCUCGCCUAUUACUACUCAGCCGCUGCAGUCAACAUGCAAAACAGCUUGGCCCAAAGCUUCCAAGGUCUGCAGGGUUUGCAUUCCGGACUCCAAACACUACCCUACCCCCUCUCCCAGAGCGGCGGCCCGCCGCAGAUCCUGGCCGGGGGCGGGGCAACAGCGCCGUAUGGCAUGGCGGCUCCGCCGCCGCCGCCGCCGCACAUCGGGGCGACCGCGAUGCCAACGGCGACAGCCGCCACAGGCCUGCUGCCGCCGGACGGCGCCGCAGCCGCAGCCGCGGCGGCGGCGGCGGGCGCGCCGCCGCGGAAGAGGGGUCGUCAAGCGGGAUCAGGUUCGGGCGCGUCCGCGGCUGCCAAUGCCGGCCAAAAAGCGCAUAUUGUCCCUGGAAACGGCAGCAAAUUCUUCCCGAAAGAAUCGCAGGUCCGUUCCCUUUCAAAAACUUUAUGUCGGUCGUGCAGGUCUAGCGGCCGGUGCUGCUGGCGAAUGCUGUUGAGAUGUGCACUACCGUGUUUAGAUCCGUUCUAGUAUAUUUUAACCACCUUUUGUGUGCGAACAGGGAACAUUGACAUUGUCAAAUUAUUGCUCUGGAGUUGUGUCCGUACGUGCGUGCGUUUUCAGGCAUGUCGCAGAUCAGUUGGGUGCUUGGGGAGUAGUGAUGCGGGUCUGGCUGGAAAUGUGGGCAGGAGAAGCGCUGUGGUGUUUUGCAGUACUACUGGAGGAUACGAUAUUGAAACUGGCAUGAAACCGGCACGCAGGCGUAUCUUGUAGCUCACACAAGCUCUUGCCCUUCUCAAUUCGCGCAUCCUGUGAAGACUCUGCGUGUGGGAAUUCCAGUUCCGAAAAAGCGCAUGCGCAUAUACAGCUUUUUGCCCAGAAGGCGCGACUUUAUGGCGAGUGGGAAAAAAUGCGCGCUUGUGCGCAUUUAGAUCUUGCCUAGAAAAACUUUGUUUUGCAUUGCCGGGACAGCAAACUGGAUUGUUAAUCUUUAUUACAAUUAUGCAAUCCAUGACAUCCAGUUAUUGUACGUCCUGUACGACGAAAGGCUCGAAAAGCCCGGUAUCCGAGGCUACCUUAAGGCGGAGUCUUUCGCUCCUGCUUUGCCAUUUAUGACAUCCGCCGCUUAUGUGCUCCUAGUAGAGCACGCUUUUCUUCCUUGUUACUCGUGCAUGUGUGUUUUCCCCGAUGCCCCGUCCCUAAUCAAUUUUCCGUUCCCUGCACCACAAAUAUCUUUUUUGUUGAGUUGAUUGCUCCAUCGAAUCUGUGCCCAUUUCAUUACCCGCCCAGGACAGUGAUGGAAUGUUUGUUUACCGCCCCUUUUCAAGUAUCCGUCUAUCUGUGAUAAUACAAUCUGCUUCAAUCGUCAGUGGUUCGUCUCCCACCCCCUUUCAGCAGCUUCACUCGUUCGUGGUUCGUCUCCCACCCCCCGCUUUCAUCUCCCCCUUGACUUCCAGCAGUUUGUCUUAGUGACGUCGGCAUUUGCUUGCUUUCCUUGACCUUUCAUGCAAUUUCCAUCCGUCUAUCUACACCCCUCGUCCCUCAUAUACCAUCCCGGAGGACUUUCCCCUCCAUCUUGAUGAGUUUGAGUUGCUGCGUAUUUAUUUAUGUGGGUAUCGGCAUUGGAUUGGAUUUGCAGGAGGAGGUGCGGCGGUUUCUGCUGCUGAUGUUGGAGCCCAAUCUGAAGCAGCGAGGGGAAGUGCCCUUGGUAAGUGGGCCUUCGAGGUGGAGAGAGGGGGGCUGAGUUGCGUCUGUGUGUUGUGGGUGUGUGGGUGUGUUGCGUGCCCAUGGACGAUGUCGCACCCGCGAACCACCAUGCGCGUUACCGAGCGGGAGGCCGAGCGCUGUAAACCCUAAGAGACAACAACACGGGGGGCCCAAAUACUCUGAAUGACGUAUCCGCCUAUUGCCAAUCUGUUUGUCUGUCUGUAUAUCGAUCAAUCUGUCUGUCUGUCUGUAUAUCUGUGUGUUGGAGGGAUGUGCGGAGGAGAAAUGCGUGACGUGCGUUACAGGAGGAGGGAGUUGGGAGGAGGGAGGAGAAGAAAGGGAGGGGAGCACUGCUACCCACUCGUCCAACCCCACCCCACCCCCAAUCCAUCACAAGUCAUGGCCCAAAACCAAACGAAAACCCGAGCGGCGGUCUUUGGAUUCGUCUGGACAUGUGCUCAUGUUCGGUGUGUGCGCCUUGGGGAGCCGUCGCGGGUUUCAGGAAGCCCUAACUGCUUAAUAACGGUUUGUGGCCUUCAGUCGUAAUUUGUCCUCCCAAGCAGUAUAUGCUUGAUAAGCGAGCGAGCGCGUGUGUGUAUGUGUGUUCUUAGCUUUCCAGCACCCACCUCCGUGGCUGGCUUGUGGUGUUUGGGGAUGGAUUGGGUUCUGGGUUGGUUUAGAUUGGAUUGAGCUGGCUCGCGUGCCUUCCCCCCUUCCCCUUGCCCCUUUGGUCCGCGUUUCUAAUCUCCUUUCCUCCUAUUCGGUUCGUAACCCAUAGGACGUCAGCUGGUCUGUCCUCUGUCCGCUCCUUGCUGAGGAGGAAAGUAAACGUAGAGGGCUUGCUGCUGUUGAUACUGCUGUUGAUACUGCGACUGUUCCGUGGGCGACGAGACAUCGCAUCACAGCGGUCCGCCGGUGCCCCUCCGCGGUCCAUGUUGCGGCCGCUUAGCUCCUCUCCCACCUAACUGCUUGCGGGUGCCCUUGCUGCUGCUGUCGCCAUGUUGCUGUUGCGGCUGUUGCUGUUCGUGUUGACCUGCAGAUUGACCGCCAGACGGCCUCCAAAUUGGAAGCUCAGUUGCGGCAGCUGGUACCUGCGGAGCAUGGGCUGGACUGGAGCGGUGAGGCUGGGGUGGUGGCUGGGGCGGGUGGGGGGUGGGAAGGGAGUUGGGCGGCGAGGGGGGUGGUGAGUGAGUGAGGACUCUCGACAGACGGCUUUUGGCACCCACCAUGGUGCGGUGGUUGCGUUGCUCCUGAUAUACAACCCCCCCCCUUCGCCUCCUUGCUAUGGUUCCUGCUGCUGCUGCUGCUGCUGCUACUAAUACUAAUACUAAUACUAACACUACUGCUACUACUAAUGGUACUGUUGCGCACUUCAUCAGGUCCCAUCGCCCGAUUGGAGCAGGCCAGUUACCGGGUAGUGGAGGACUUGUUUGGGGAUCUGCAGGUGGGCCAGGGCAGGGCAGGACAGGACAGGGCUGUCGGGGUGAUGUGGAGGGAGGUGAGCACAGGUGCAGAUGGUUUUCAAGGACAAGGUGAAAUCCAUUACCGAUAUCAAACUGCCGAUGUGCAAGAAACACAUCUGAUAAGUUGUGUGCACGUAUUUGUCUGUCUGUCUGUGUGUGUGUGUUUACAUAUGUACGUGUAUAUGUAUGUACGUGUGCGGGUAUGUGGGGAGGGUUGGCCGGUGUCGAGGGAGAGGGUGAAUGCCGGAAUGGGUUGUGAGAGUCCGUUGUUGUUGUUAUUUUUGUUAUGUGCUGCUCCACACGAACAUGGAUGGAUGGAAUGCAAGGUAAUGUAGAAUUUUUUGUGGAAAAGAAAGAUUGUUGAACCACGAGCCACCAUCGUAAACGUCGUCCUCGUCCUCGUCGUCGUCGUCGUGUACACACGCGCCCUUGGAGCCCUUAAUGGUCCCUCAUCACCUUUGGACGCCGGCAGUGCAUCUCUUGAGUUUCUUGCACAUGAUUUCCCCUCACCUCCAUGAUGUGUUUUUGCCAUCACCUUCACACACAUACACUCGUACACACACGUACACGGCGCACGCAGGAUCCCCUGGAUGAUGUAAUCACAGCACAGAUGCAGGCGCCGUCACGGUACGGCAGCGGCAACGGUAUUAACGGCCUCAACAAUGGUGGCGCCGCCGGGGCCCUCAGUCGCGCGGGCAGUAGCGGCGGCUUCGGAGAUGCUGCGAUGUACGGCAUGACGGCAGCGGCGGCAGGAGCAGGAGGCGGAGGAGGAGGAGAUGGCGGCGGCCCGGGUGAUUCGGCCGCGCCCACUGCCGCCGCCUCCAACCCCCGGCGACUUCGGCAGCUGAACUCCAUGAAGCAAACCUUUCUAUCUGGUAGGGCUGAGGAUUUUAAACGGGGUGGAAGCAGAUGCCGAGGGAAGGUUUAAGAGAAAGAGGAAAAAGAAGUGUGAGAGAUACCCUAAGUAAACCUUGAGAGCAAACCUUGAAAGCAAAAACCCUUUUAUCAGACGGGCCCGGGGACAGCUAUAAGGAAAAUACUCCGUCUUUGGUUUGUAUCCCCGAUUAUGGCCGUGUGUCGGAAAACUUCUUGCAGUAUCUGUCUAAUCCUGGAGUAUAUCCGUCUGUAUGUAGUGGUAUCUGCUUCACUUCGUCCUUGGUUCGCCUCCCUUCCGUCCCCCCGUCCGUCCGUCUGUCCGUCCGUCCGCGAGUGCAGACCUACAUGAGGCCAUAGACGAGCUGGUGCGGCGACGUGUGGAUGCGGACAAGCAGGUUAGUCCGGGGGAGGGAAGGGGGGAUGGAGGGGUGUGUGUGUAUGUGUAUGUGUGUCCGGGGGGGGAAAGGAAGGAGUUGACUGGUUAGGAUGCAGAUAAAGGCGGGGGGGGGAAGGUGUGUUUGGGUUGUGUGACCUCUUCCUCCACCAUCACCCCCCUUUUCGAGUAUCCGCACUCUGUCUCUGGUACCUGCUUCAAUCGUCAGUGGUUCGUCUUAACCCCCCUACCCUACCCCCCCUUUCGGUCAGUUCUACGUUUGAUACACUCUUGUCCUGGCAGCAGCUUCAAUCGUGUGUGGUUCGUCUUCACCCCCCUCCCCUCCCCCACGAAUCAGGCUGCUGCCAAGGAGUACGCGGACCGCAUGGCGGACAUCCUGGCGGGCCUCCCACCCGAGCUCGGGAGCAUACCAGAAAAUGUACCGGGAGCCGUACUGCCUGCGGCUGUACUGCACAACAAGGAGCCGUACUUUUCGGUUUCGGAGUGGCGGAAAGUGCCAUUCCCACCUAGGUGAGGCUUGGAUCUGGGUAUUGGAAAGAAUUGGAGGGCGAGGUUCCGCCAAGGAGGUGGUGGUGGUGGCGGUGGUUGGAAGGGCGGGAUAAAAUCUGUUAAAGAAAUGGUGAGGGGCAGGAAGAUGGGGGGGGAGCAGUAGGGGGUGGGGGGGUAAAGUACGGGUUUCGGAGGCUUUAGGAGUGGGGAUUAGCUCUCCUCAUCCCCCCCCCCCAAUCGUGUUUGUGGCACUCCCUCUUUGACGAGAUGACACUUGCCGUUCCGGUGGCAUUACCAGCACCCAUAUAGGUAUCAGCAUCGGUAUCAAUAUUGAAGCACAGGUCGAGAGGGCUUUGGAGUUCCAACAGACGUGGAUUUGCUCGUAGCAGCCACUACGGGCAGGGCAGGGCUGGUUGGUUGGUAUUUUUUUUGCUUGUGUUUGCGUGUUGUGACUCCGUCCUCCUCCACCUCCUCCGUUGGUACCGCCGGGAAAUGAUAGCGCAUGAAGGCCGCUCCUGAACCUCUGAUCGGAGAACACGGUCGGGGAAUCUGCGAUUUCCUUCUUGCGUGCCUUAUAAACACAUACAUACAUGCAUACGCAUGUAUAUACAUACAUACAUACAUACAUACAUACAUACAUACAUACAUACAUACAUACACACAUACACACAUACACACAUGUGGCACAGCCAUAUGUAUCGCCUGAAUAGGCAUUUCCCUCAUCGCGGCUCAGAUGAAAAUAAAAAUAAAAACACACACGCGCAGUUGGUAAUGUUGCAUCUUGGAGUUUGAAAUGAAUCCCACACCGCCCCCACUGGCCCUCAGCACUUGUAAUUGCGCUCAGCAACCUUCCCAUCUCCCACCCGCGCUUUUGCCCUUUUUUCGCUCUGCUUCCCAGGCAAUACGAGACCUUGACGUCGUACGCCAUCCGCAGUACGAUUCCUUCGGAGCGUGCCGUACUGGCGUACAAGCUGCAGACGAAGCGGCCCGACGGCGCUGCGGAGCACUUCACUUUGGAGCACAGCAAGGAACUCGGUCUGGAGGAGUGGUGCGUGUGUAUGUAUGUACGUGCGUAUGUAUGUAUGUAUGUAUGUAUGUAUGUAUGUAAUUGAUUUAUAUAUGCGGCCAGGGACCGGAAAAAGAGGCGUCAGCAAAUGUAUGUUGGUGUGUUUUGGUAUGUUUGCUGGAUGUGCGUGUGCGUGUCUGGAAUGAAUGAAUGUAUGUAUGUAUGUAUGAACGUGCAUAUGCCUGCGCGCCUGUGUGUGUAAUUUCAGGUAUAUUCAGUGGAUUGCUUAGUUGGUUUCGCUCUUGUGGGCAAUCGCUCCAGGCCACCACACCCCGGGGGCCUGCAGCUGGGUUCUCUCUCUCUCUCUCUCUCUUUGGCGGUUCGGAUCGGUGAUGUCUUCCUGAGUUGCCGUACAUAUUGCUGAGGUGACAUUAAGGACAUUAAUAAAUGGCUCCUCCUCUCCACCUUCCCUUCCCAGCAAGCACAAGGAGUCCGAGCUGGCGGCUGCUGUCCGGGCCCGCCGCGUGCUGGUGAUGGGGCAGCACGUCAAGGAGGUCGACUGCUGGGGAAUGGACUGCUACACACGGAGGAAUAUAUUCGACGGUACGACAGUGUUUUGGGGGUAGGGUGUAUAUGCAUGUAUGUAUAUGUAGAUAUGUUCUUGUUAUUGCGGAGGAUUAUCAAGUUCAUUUAUAUAUAUUGUAUGUAUUAUUAUUUAUAUAUUGAAUUGAAUUGAAUUGUUACAGAGUGGGAGGCUUAUUUAUAUAUAUAUAUAUAACAUACAUAGCCUCGCAACCCCGUCUACAUGUGUCGGGGAGGGGGAGAACACACGUAGAUGCAAAACGCGGGUCUCCAUGUCCCCUCAACGUAUGAUGGGGCAAGGAGGGGAGUAGGGGGGAAGACUUUAACCGCGAGCGAGUGAAGGGGUGGGGAAGGGAGGGGGAGAGGUGGGAGGAAGGAAAGGGGUAUGGAGGGUUGGCUCUGGGUCUGUGUGUGUGUGUGCGUGUGUGGGUGGGUUGGGGCGGGGCAGGUUUGAAUGGAAGAAUUGAACAUGUCUUCUCCAGCUACUACCACCAGGGCAGUCAUUUGGACGUGCCACUGUUGUUGGAUGUCGUACUCUGUCGUACUGCGAUAUUGGUAACGUGGGUUCGUCCACGCCCGCCGGGGUCGCUCCGUAUUUUGUGGUUCUUAACGCGCGUGUACGGCUUGUGUGUGUGUGUGUAUGGGUCGGGAUAGCUUUUGCGGUCUUUUUAAUCCCCUACCUCCCUUCCCCCCAUACACACACAUUCUCCCCCCCGGUCACCCCCCUCGGUCACUUCCAUGUGAUCCCAACCCCUCCCCGUCCUUCUAACUUUCCAGCGGUCCGAGAGAGCGGCGCUUUCAAGCACUGCCGUACUGGUAGCGGCGGCGUCACGACCACCACCACGACCACCCCUGCCACCGCCAGCCCCGAGCCCGAUGAUCCGGAUAUGGCGGAUACAGCUGCGGGGGCACGAGCCGGCGGCGGCGGCGGUAGUCGGCCGCCCUCUAACGGCUCAAGCCAUGGCGUCAGCGCUGCAGGCGCCGCAGUAACAGUUGGUGGAGGCGGCGGCGGCGGCGGCGGCGGCCUGGCGAACGGGGCGGCGGCGGCGGCAUCGCACAAGCUGAACGGCGGGGAAUUUGGAGGGGGGUUUGGUGGGGGUUUUGCGGGCGCGGCGGCCGGCCCUCUUAAGAAGGAGGAGGUGGCGGAGGUGAUGGUGGGUCCCGGUCUCGGACAGGUGACGGAGUCCACCUUGAACGAUGCCGCCAUCGCGGCGGCGCUGGCGGCGGAGGACGCCGAGGCUAGCGGCGGCGGCAGGGGCAGUACGGCGGGGAAGGCGCGUGGACGCGGCGGGCCGAGGCGGCGUGCGGCAGUGGCGGCGGGGGAGAAGUUGGCGGGCGGGGUGUGUGGGGAGGGCGAAGGAGGUGCAGCAGGGGCCCAGGUGGCGUUGCCGCCGCCGCCACCACCGUGCGACCAGGGGGAGGCGGAGGCGAUCAACGAUUGGAUCGACCGCCACGUGUUGUGUACGGCGAUUGCCAAGGUAGGUACGACGGGCGCAUACUGCACCCGAGUGGGGGGCUCGGGUAGGGGUGCAGGUGGCCGAAAUGUUUUGGGUUCCGACUUCACUCUAAAAGAGUGAAGCCUGUUUGCUACCUUCCUCUCGACCCUCCUCCGGGGACUUAGAAAUUAUUUUGACCGACCUCCCCCAGCGCACCAGCAGGCGUUGCCGUUGGGUGAAGUUGCUUCGAACCUCCGCUCCAAAACCCCACCCAAGGCCCCCUGGGUCGCACUCCAGGCAUCGCCAACCAACCAACUAACAACUAAUUAAUAACUCACCAACUGCUUUCCACAUGCCCCAAAUUUUCCCAACUUCCCCCAUGCGUCCCCCACGCGUCCUUAAAUGGAAGUUUGGAUGUUUCCAAUUUGGAUUUGGAUUUCCCCCUCCCUUCCCCCAAGGGACACCUCCAUUCCCUUCAAUAACCACCCCAUUUCGUCACCCCAUUUCGUCACGCCGCCGUACAGGGCCCCGACGGUUGGAACCUGUUGCGGGUUUUGGAGGCCGUACAGGCGGGAGCUCGGGAGCGGGGGGACAAACCCUGCAGCAAGGCAGCCAGCGCUGUCAUGGCCCGCCUUAAGCAGGUAGGAGGGAGACGGGGCGGGGAGAAGGGGGCGAAAGGAAAAUUGGGAAGGGGGAAGUUGUGUGAGAGGUACGCGCGAGCCGCACAUGCGAGUACGGCGAAAAAAUACCUCCUUCCGGCUCCUCCUCGAUUUUGUUGACUUCUAUGGACGGUGCCGUACAUGGCGCCUGUGUCGUGCCCUUCCGCCCCCCUUUCCGCUCACCCCGUUUCCCCCCCGCCGCUCUCGCCUCCCCGGCUCCCUUCGUGACGCUCUUCCCAGCACGCACCGUGCUCUUUCCUGCCCCUACUCGCAAUCGGUGUUAUGGGCACCAUUUGGGGUGUUAUUUGCUACCACGUUUUGCUACUAACCCCCUCCCCAGCUGCCGGGCCACCAACCCACUUCCUCGCAUAUGUUUUCCCCCCCAUACCCCCCAUACCCCCCAUACCCUCCAUACCCCCUACACGCCCCACACCCCUCACACCCAGGUACAUGACGCCCCAAAUGUUGGUGGUGGUAACGUUCACAGGAAAGCAGUUGCGUCUCCUGGCUUUGGACUCCAGCACGUACAUAUAUACAUACAUAUGCUUACCCACAUCCGGCCCCACCCCUUUUCCACCCCGUCUUGACCUUGCACCAUGUAUUUCCGCCCCUCCUUCCACCACUUAUCCGGGCCCGCCCCGCCCCCGCCCCAGAUCGGUUGGGCUUACUUCCGUCUUCACCCCAAGGGUCGCGGGGUGGUGUGUCAGGUGCCGGAGGGGCUGCCCGCCUUUUCCUUCGUGGAGGAGUACCUGGGCGAGCUGCACAGNNNNNNNNNNNNNNNNNNNNNNNNNNNNNNNNNNNNNNNNNNNNNNNNNNNNNNNNNNNNNNNNNNNNNNNNNNNNNNNNNNNNNNNNNNNNNNNNNNNNNNNNNNNNNNNNNNNNNNNNNNNNNNNNNNNNNNNNNNNNNNNNNNNNNNNNNNNNNNNNNNNNNNNNNNNNNNNNNNNNNNNNNNNNNNNNNNNNNNNNNNNNNNNNNNNNNNNNNNNNNNNNNNNNNNNNNNNNNNNNNNNNNNNNNNNNNNNNNNNNNNNNNNNNNNNNNNNNNNNNNNNNNNNNNNNNNNNNNNNNNNNNNNNNNNNNNNNNNNNNNNNNNNNNNNNNNNNNNNNNNNNNNNNNNNNNNNNNNNNNNNNNNNNNNNNNNNNNNNNNNNNNNNNNNNNNNNNNNNNNNNNNNNNNNNNNCUGUGUGUGAGUGUGUGUGUUGCGUGUAAUCCGGUCCAGGGAUCUGGCAGGAGGAUGGCACACGACGAGGUGGGUGUGGGGGUAAAAGGCGAACCACUGGCGAAUGGAGCAGAUACCAAAGAUAGACGGGUAGUCCAGGGGGGGGAGGGAGGGCAAGGGUAAUGGGGGGGACCGGGGGUGUUUGGCCAGAAGACGUGCUUCGCCUUGUCUGGUCGGGCGGGUCUCCCCGCCUCGAGCCCCGACCCACAUCCGGCCCCCCAUCGCACACCCGGCGGUCCUGCGGGUAUUUAUCUCCCGCGCCCGUGUUGUACACGUACACCCCCUCACGGCACUCGCUGUCCGGCGGCCAUUGACCGUCCGGAUCCUUUUUGCCUCAUUUGGUGCGUGUUUAUGUAUAUGCAUGUGUUUAUGUAUGUGUGUAUGUAUGUGUGUUUUGCUGUGUGCUAGGGCCCCCGAUUGGCUUCCAGGGCCUUCGGGUUGUAAAAAGAAAAGAGAACNNNNNNNNNNNNNNNNNNNNNNNNNNNNNNNNNNNNNNNNNNNNNNNNNNGGGGGGGAAGGAGGGGAAGGAGGCAUAUGGUGUGUGUUUUGACGACGAUUCACGGGGGGAUUCAUUAGUAGAAACCUUCAAGGUGGUGGUGGGUUGGUGGUAAGGGGCUAUGGGGUAUAUAUAUAUCCCGCCUGUGCUUGGUGAGUGGGAUUUACGGGUGAGCUGCUGCCAGGUGCGGUGCGGUGUGGUGAGCAGCAGCUACCUGUGUGCGGACCACUGGGGAGAGCUGAGGCCCUCCGUGCGCUAGGAGUGGAGUGGAGUGGGGGCUACAGCUUAGCAGCGCUGCGAUGAGGAGGGGAGGACUGCGGCCUCAGCAGCCCCGGUGGCCAGUGUCAGGCCCGGUCAGAUACUUGUAACCUACACCCCAUACACACACUGUGAGACAUAAAACCCAUUUCCCCCCCUUCUUCUACUGGUUCCCCGCCACCCCCUCCACACACACCUCGCAAAUGCCUACAUAUAUACAUAUAUGCAUACAAUAUACGUACCCACAGCCCUUAGGUCUCGCCGCUCAGUACAUUGUUCGUACAUACAGCCCCCUCGGCCCCCUCAGGGCCCUUGGGCCCCUCGUCAGGGCUCCAGGUAUGUCUGGUAUGGGGCCCCCCUCGUACAUACACCUAUGGAGGUGGUAACGCGGUAACUCCAGAAGGUUUACCACACACACAAUACAUUUAUUUAUUUAUUUAUUUAUUUAUUUAUUUAUACUUAGCCCCUACCCACCCGCAACCACCCUCCCUCCCUGUCCCUCCAGGCGUCGUUCGCUAGCCGCAUGAGUCACUCCUGCACCCCCAACUGUGCGGCGGUGGUGGUCUCAGUCAACGGGCGCCUCACCAUAGCCAUGUACGCCAAAAGGAGAAUCGAACCUGGUAAAAGGGGGGGGGAGGGUAAAAGGGGGGUUUGCGUGUGUAUAUGGUUUUGUGUGUAUGGGGUGGGGAGGUAAAUUCGUGUGUCGGAGGGGGGCGGGGUGGGGGGUGGGGGCCGCGGAACGAGGGAGUAGGUGGGAAGAUGGUAAGGUAGUGUGGCCGCUCUAAGAAUUGUCGACGUCCAGGAAGCAUGCAGUGGUGGUGGUUGGUUGGGGGGGGUGAGCGUCGGGCAAGGCGGGGCGGAGGGCAGUAGGUGUGUGGGGGGUGGGGUGGGGGGGAAAUGGUGAGAAGGGGUGUAGAGUAGAGCCGUUAGGUGGGUGGCUGAGAGUGAAGGUUGUGGGAGAGGGGGCAUGAAGAAAGGGAAGAAAGGGGUUCGCUAUUAAGGCAAACAAAAAACCAUGCAAAAAGCCCCACUGCCCACGGCUCCUUCCCUGUCCCUCCUCCAUUUCAGACCCCUCAAUGAUGAAAACACCACAAAAGUGGGUUUGGGUGGUUCAGGAAGGAAGAUGGGUCUCUGUGAACGCCGACCCUAUGGUCGGUCUUGUUUGCGACGGCGUCGCACCUUCUCAAGCCGCCGAUGCCCUCGUCAACCCUCUCCCCCCCCCCUCCUCCCCCCCCUCCUUCCCCCCCUCCUCCACUCUUGCCCUGGCCUCUUGCCCUGGGAGCAGCUUCACACGUUUGUGGUUUGUCUUUCCCCCCUUCCUCCCCCCGCUCCUCCCCCUCCUCGCAUUACCUUCAACCCCAGGCGAGGAGCUCACCUUCGACUACAGCAGUGUCACGGAGAGCGAGAAGGAGUACCGGGAGGCGAUCUGCCUGUGUGGUAGUAGGAACUGCCGGGGGUCGUACUUGUACUACUCAGGAAGUACGGCAUUCACGCAGGUACGUGGAGGGGGAGGAGGAGGAGAAGAGGAAUAGGUCUGGACUUCGGCGGGAGGUUCGUUUUUUUCGGGGGCGGGAAGAGAGGGGUACACAGCCGCAUGACGAUACGGUCUAAGGGAAUAUAUACGUACACAAUAACCGAGUAAUACCCCGCACAACAACACUUGAACAAAUUUUCUCUCGCCACCUUGCGGGGUUUGCUUUCCCUUCCUGACUGCGCAUGUAUCCCCCUCCCAUACGCGCGUACACAAACACACACAUACACACACGUGCAUAUAUACACACACAUGCAAAUAUACAGCUCCUCCCUCACAAAUGGAUGCACUGCACUGCAAUGCAGCUCCUCCCUCACUCUUCCUGCCUCCUCCCCCCUGUCCUGACGUACCUGUCUGAAUGUCUACCCGUACAGGUCAUGGAGCAGCGCCACAACUUCCUCCACCGCCAGACCAUAUUGCUCCGGGCCUCCACUGAGCCCCUCCUGGAGUCCGACUGGACCCGCCUGAAGAGCCACUCACUGGGGCCCACCAGCCUGGGGGACGGAGGGCCGGGAAACAAUAAGUGAGUCUGUGUGUGUGUGUGUGAGUGUGUGUGAGUGUGUGAGUGUGUGAGUGUGUGUGUAUGUGAGUGUGUGAGUGUGUGAGUGUAUGUGUAUGUGUGUGUAUGUGUGAGUCUGUGUGUGUGUAUGUGAGUGUGUGUGUGAGUGUGUGUGUUGCGUGUAAUCCGGUCCAGGGAACUGGCAGGAGGAUGGCACACGACGAGGUGGGUGUGGGGGUAAAAGGCGAACCACUGGCGAAUGGAGCAGAUACCAAAGAUAGACGGGUAGUCCAGGGGGGGGAGGGAGGGCAAGGGUAAUGGGGGGGAGGGGGGUGUUUGGCCAGAAGACGUGCUUCGCCUUGUCUGGUCGGGCGGGUCUCCCCGCCUCGAGCCCCGACCCACAUCCGGCCCCCCAUCGCACACCCGGCGGUCCUGCGGGUAUUUAUCUCCCGCGCCCGUGUUGUACACGUACACCCCCUCACGGCACUCGCUGUCCGGCGGCCAUUGACCGUCCGGAUCCUUUUUGCCUCAUUUGGUGCGUGUUUAUGUAUAUGCAUGUGUUUAUGUAUGUGUGUAUGUAUGUGUGUUUUGCUGUGUGCUAGGGCCCCCGAUUGGCUGGUCAAGUGGGCCGCCCUGGUGCUGGAGUACGUGGAGCUGGAGAAGCGGGAGCUGCCCCAGGUGCUGCUGCAGCUGCCGCCCCAGCUGGGGAGGUACACGUCGGAAUCGGCGGCCAUUGAGGCGGAGGUGAGUGAGGGGGGGCGUGGGUGUGAGGAGGAGGGGGGGAGGAAGAAGCGAACCACGAGCGAGUGAAGCUGAUGCCAAGGAAAGACUGGUGCGCCAGAAGUAAGGAAGGGGUUUAACUGGACGAGGGCGCAAUAUCCAUUGGCCCAACCUCCUGCACCCCUUCUCCCCUCCUUCAGGCCAUCGCUCAGAACCGUGUCCAGCAGAUUGUCAUCACUCUGGACAAGGUAAAGCAAGUACUGCGGCAGCCGGGGCAGCUGCAGGUGAGCAGGAGGAGAGAUAACGGGGGGGGGGUAGGGUGGAGAGGGGUGGAGAGGGGUUCAGGGGUUAGAACAAAACACACGUGACCCAAACACGGGGGAGGAGGAGAAAGGGGGGCCCCAUCACUCCCACCAUCAGACCCCACCCCCUGCCGUAUACCUGCCGUAAGGACGGUUUUAUUCCCCUCUCCCCCUCUCCCCCUUCCCCCUCCCCUCCAAACACGGUGUUUCAGACGGCGCCCAUGCGGCUGUUGUCCGAGUCCGAGGUGGUGGCUCACCUUUGGUCGGGAAGCAACUCCAUUGCCAAGAGGGUCCUUAAGGUGGGUUGGGUUGGGCAGGUGAGCAGGUGGGCAGGUGGGGAGGUGGAACGGGGAAGAUAAGGAGGGGUGAAAAAAGGCAGCGAAAAAAGGGGGGAAGAGGAUAAGGAGAGAGGACUGGAGGGUGAGGGGUUAAAGGAGAGUGUGCGGUUUAUUUUCAUGUGUAUGGGUGUGUCUCCUAUCGCGCGAUACUCUCUCCCUCUCUAGCCCCCCUUCAUGUGUGUGUGUGUUCACAUCCUCGGGCUUUGCGUGCCCCUCUUGCACUCGCCCCUACGGUGCCCUUCACAAGGCCGCACCCGCCCUUAGCCCCGGCCUCGUAGCCAGCACGUCGACCUAUCCUUAGUCCAAAUCUUGACGUCCAAUUUUGAAGCCCAAUCGGUAGUGCUGAGAAAAGCUACUGCCGGGAAACGUAUCUUUGCAGAGCGCCGCGCCGCUUCUCUGCGCUAGCAAGGCCGUCAUGCAAAAGCUGUACGGCCUGUGGACACCUGCCGGAGCCGCCGCUGCGGGCCCUAGCGGUCCCACCACUCGCGGCGGUGGCGGCGGCGGCGGCGGCGGGCAUGAGAGCGGCGAGGACGAUACAUCGCCUCAGCCGGUACGUCGCGGCCGUGGCGGCGGCGGCGGUGGCGGCGGCGGUGGCGGCGGAGGUUUUAGCCUGGGUGACGACGAGGAGGCGCGGUUGGCUGCUGUGCUGCCGGACCGUCUGUCGGAGUUCGCUGCGGGUCCUGAUGCGGCUCGGGAACCCAAGUUGGCGGCGGUGACUAGGCUGGUGGCGCAGAAGGUGCCGCCGUGUGUGGGUGUGGGUGAGGGGGCGGGGUCACAUACAUAGUUACAUACAUGCAUGCAUGCAUUUUUCUUUUUCCCUUGCAGUCCCCUGCUUGGUAAGGUGGUCCUUUGCCGCGUGGUCCGGUAUCUCAACCCCAUGCCGCCAUCCCCCCAGCUGGCAUCAUGGCAUGAUGCCAGUGGCAUGAUGCCAGUGGCAUGAUGCCAGUGGCAUGCUCUCCUCCCCUUUUUCCCAUGUCUGAGCGGCUUCUCCUGCCCAGAUGCCAUCUGUGCAGGUCGUUACAUGUACGCAUAUGCACCGCGUAUGUAUGUGCGUGUGUAUGUGCGUGUGUGUUUUGCUUCUUCCCCGCUAGGUCAGCACGGCGGAUCAGGCCCGGGAGAAGAUCCUGGAACUGGAGAAGUUGCUCCGAAGCCAGGAUGUGCAGGAUGGAGCGCCACAUCACACGGCGGUGGCUGAUAUGCUGCACAUGUACGGCAAGACCUUGACGUGGUUUACGGCAGAGCGUGGCUACAAAGGUGAGCCAUGUACUUGGAGGUCACGGUCAUGGUUUGUAGAGUUACAGGGCUUUUCACCGGGAAAAAAGGACAUCAUCAUAAUUUUUUACAACAUGCUUACGCUGGUUGUGCAAGAUUUCUUUUGUGUUGUUCGUCUGGCUUUGUGGUGGAGGGUUGAGAACGUUUGUUUGCUGUCUGUUGCUGCUGCUAAAGCUAUGGCUAUUUGUACGGCUGCGUGUACGGCAACUGCUGCAGGCUUUGCCUCUCCGCCCAUUGAGCUGCAUGAGGAGAUGGUGAAGUUGCACCGAGUCAAACUGGCGGCGGCGGGCCGUGGUGCCGGCGGCGGCGGCGGCGGUGGUCGCGGACGCCGGGUCGGCGGCGGCCGCGGCGGGGGUCGACGCAGCAGCGGCGGCGGCGGCGGUGAGUCCUCGCCGGUGUACGGCCCUGCGGGUUGCGGCAGCUCGGACGAGGAGGAGGACGAGCCGGAGACGGACUCGGACGAUUCGGAUCGUGGGGGAAAAAGCGGUGGCAAGGCUCGCGGUGGCCGAGGCGGCGGCGGCGGCAAGGGCGGGCGCGGGGCAGGACGCGGCAGUGGACGCCGUUCCACCGCCACGGCUACACGAGGCGCUGCCGUGGCCGCCACCGGUGCCGGCGGCGGUGGUGACGACGGCGCCGGCUCGCCGUCGCCUCCGAUUCCGCCGGACGCGGAGCCCGGCGCCGCUGAGCCCGACGCGGCCGCCGCCACCGCUGCGGCGGCACCGGUUCGUCGCUCCGGCGGCUCCGUUCGCCUGGCGGACCCGUCCGUGUUGUCGAAGCGCUACGGGCCCUGGUUCAUGUGGGGUCAACUGUCCGGGUGGUACAAACAGACGGUGUACGACCCGACGGCGUCGCUGUCUGCGGAGCGGCGGGGUACCCUGUCGCUACCUGACGUGGAGAGCUGCUACGGGGCUCGUGCCAAGUACACGUUCAAGGUACCUGGGAAGCGUUGCGGAUCGUUGGGUCCUUGUUUUUUGUUGGGGGAAAAGGGAAUCAGGCGCUGCUGCUGCUGCUGCUGCUGCUGCUGCUGAUGAUGAUGAUGAUGAUGGUGCCGCUUGCAGUUGACCUAAUGGGAUCUAUCAUAUUUUUAUUUCCUGCUAUAUACUCACACACCAAUAACCCCAUUGCUGAUGCUGAUGCCAACAGUCAUUGAUAAAGAAAGCCAACUGCCUACGUUCAAAAGCACCACCAGUUUUCGGAGUUCGUUUUGCCGGGGGGGAGUGGGCGGGUGAUCCCGAUGGGGGAGGAUGGGGAGGGAAGCGGCUCGGGAAAGUGGGGAACGGGGCAGGCAUUUAUGUGUGUAGGUAUAUAUGUAUGUAUGUGUGUGUAUGUGUGUGUUUGCUUAACCUCCGCGGGAUAACACCUCACCCCAGACCCGGCACCAGUUACACUGCCUACCAGUUAGGCUGAUGCCGGCCCCUUACCCCCCGCCUUUAUGUCUGUCUGUCUGUCUGUCUGUCUGUCUGUCUGUCUGCCUGCCUAGGACCGUGCUGCCGUGCUGCGCCACCUGGAGCAGUGUCCAGAUGCCCAGUGGAAGACCUCGCUGCCAUUUGGGUUUCGUAACGACGCCAAGAUUUACGGCAGCCCCAUGUUCGACCAGGUAACAUGUUCAAAUGUCUGUGCGUCUGUGCGCGCGUGUAUGUGUGUGGGUGUGGGUGCUUUUUGGGGCCCCGGGCGCGUGGGAAAAGGGAGGAAUGAGGAACUGGAGAGGCAGCUUUCUGUUGUUUCACCUAUUCAAUGUAGGGUGGGGGGUUGAUGAGAGGGUGGGGGAGGGGCUUCACAGGAUUCCCUGCUGCUUAGGGAUUUAUGAAGGAGAGGAGAAAACAACAGCUUCGGGGAGGAGAUUCGGAACCCCAACGUUUACCGAUAAUACGCCAGGCAUGGGGUCCUCGGCCGGGGGAGGAGGUAAGAUGGAGGUGCUCUUGGCCCGCCUGCCACCUUUUUACUAAACCUACUGCUCUUCCCAUUUUGCUGCUCUGCCUUUUCGACCGUCGACUGCUUCCCAUUUGACUGCCUAUUUGUCAGUGUUCCAUUGCGGAUGAGAACCCGCACCCACACCCGUCCGUCCCUCGCCCUGCUCACCACCCCGGCUCCCCCGGUCCUCGAAUCCUCGAAGGUGUAUUUGGAGGCCAUUGGCAGGUCGGACCUGAACCCCAUGCCGGGUGUGCUGGCCCACCUUAAGGCCGUCAAAACACCCCUCAACCCAUCCAAGGCGGGACGAUGACACAUCCACAGCAAAACACAUCCUCGGAGGGGGGGGAGAAGGAGGGGGAAAAAGGGGGGAAAAAGGGCAUGAAACCCGAGAAAGCCCGAAGUCCCGCCAGGGAGGAAGGCGAUUGGUGAAGCACCCUUGGGGGAGAAGGGCGAGGGGGGGGGGAAAGGGAGAGUAGGGUGCGAGGCAGGGCAAUGGUAUGUAGCACGAGCAGCAAAGAGACACACGUCCAAAGCCGCGAGCUGUGACCCUAGGAGUGAGGGAAGGAUGGGAGGGGGGGCGGGGGAGCGGAGGGCGGAGAGGCGGGUCCUGCCGGGGGCGACGCAGGGGCCUCCUACCCCCUUCAUGUCGGGCGGGGGGGGGCGGUAGCGCAUGCUGCAUUUGGUGGCCGUUGGACAUCACCAACACAACCACGCGGCGGCAGCGGCGGCGGCGGCGGCGACGCUUUUCGUAUUUUUCGCCUUCCUUGCGCAAGUCAUAUGGCAAUGCCGUUGUAUUUCCAUGGCAAUGUUUGCUCCUUUCUUUUUUUAACUAUUUUCGGGGUCGCAGAAUCGAAAUUUGUUCAAGUGCUGGCCCAAUUACCAGAUCUUAAGUAGAAAACUAGAAAUGUAGACGGGAGGAGAAGGGACAGCGCACUUGUCGCAAGUGUGUGGUUGCGAAUAAUGAUUUGGUGUCCCGAUAGUGUGUGGGUUGUCAGGAAAGGUAUACACCAUUGGAGAACAGCACGGGGGGUGUUGUUCCCAUGAGGUCCAAAUCGGCGAGCGACAGAACUGUGUUUUUUGUUUUAAAACUAAAGGGAACGCGGGAAUGUAGAUGAGUGGUUGCGCGGGUAAGUCGGCCGCCGGUGUUCGUGCUGGCGCUGCGGGCGGUGACGGUGGUCUGCUGCUGCUGGUGCUGCUGCUGCGGUGGGUCGGAUGUAUACGUUUUUUUCGUGAACUGCGGACAGGAUACGGGGAAGGGAGGGGGGCGAAUGCGAGAACGAGGACGGGUAGGAAAGGAGCGAGGAGCAGGUGAUGGUGUCGGUAGGUAAAGGGAACGCGGGAAAGGAAGAAAAGAGGAAACACAGGACGCGCGAUCGCAUACGCAUAUCUCGCGCGGCUAUACACACAUAUGCGCUCUGUGGUUUUUCCAUCGUCGUCCUGGAUGUGGAGGGUUAUGACGGAGGAUGGUGACGGUUGCGUCGCUGGCGGUUCUCGCGGUGUACGGUGUCGUAUAGUUGGUCUGGAGUCAUUCCGAAAAGUCGAAAAGCCCUUGGAGGGCGCUACGGGCUUGUCGAGGUGGUGCGAAGCUCAGUUCUGUAGGUCCUACCAAAGCAGACUUAUGCAGCCUGGGACAGAACGUAAGAGGCUUCGAUAUGAGUGGCAGGCGACGACGUGAACUGAAAACUGGGGGUGGGGUGUCGGCGAAUAUGGGACAUGGGUCCUGAGAUUUAGGUUAUGCGAAGGAAGGUUUGGGUAGAAAGACCGUGGAUUUGCAAGGAUUCCCUAGGGGUUAUGGUGCUGGGCGCAGCAUUAUCUGCGUUUUUGGGGUGAGGCUUGAAGGUAGUCGUUCAGAGGACAUGACACCCUUGUCAUUCCCUUUAGGGGAUGAUGAUGACAAGCCGUUAGGGUAAGGGGGUCAGCACACUGAGCAAGGUCAGGGUAGAGUGACCUGGGGAGGGCGAGUCAUUCCUUAAUUGUAGUUUCACCUAUCCUUCCGUGGGUAGAAUUUACCGAAUGGCGAGAAUUUCCAGACGUGGUCGCUGUGGCCAAGGUUUGCGAUGCGGCCUGUGCAGUACUUGCUCCGUGGCGGCAUGGUGACCAGCUACAGCUUUUAUGUGUAUGUUGGUGAGAAUUGUGAAGGAACUUAUGCUUAUGGAGAAGAACAUAACAUGGGAGAAAGGGUGGCGACGUGUGGGGAUUUGGAAGUCCGCCGACGAGGCUAUGUUUCCGUCAACCUAGAGUUCCGUCAAAAAAAUCUUUCUCUAUUUUACUCUAGCGUUGCAUAUUAAGUGGAAUGGCAAGGGUAACAAGAUUACAGCGUUUGCUGUAAUCAAGCUCGGCAAUUAACGUAGCGAGUUAUGAAGAUAGUUGUUGUAUUUGAUACUUAUCGACUUGUAUAGGAAGGUUAUACAUAAUUCUUAGGCAUACCGUUGGUACGGAUGACCGUUGGCCCAGUGAGCCAAGGGCUGCCGCUCAGCACGUUGAAGUUUCUCCGAGACCGUACGGCAGAUUGUCACUACAUAUUCAGCAAGUAACCAGAAAAUACCUCUCCCAAAUUGAACAAGUUGUCCCUGCCGCCACCUUAGCAAGUAUCAGCCUGCAUAGUCUUGGGUGCAAGGGAAGGUUGACAUAUCUCUCGCACCGUGUUGCUGAUGUGAGGUAUCCCUUCGUACUUGCAGGGGCUUGCUGGAGGCGAUCCUUUGGGUGCCUGGAAAGCGCUUAGUCGAUGGGAGAGGUAGAGGGCUAAAGAGAGCUUGUUGCGAGGAGCUGGCGCCUUUGUGCCGUGCCGUGCUGAUGCGGCCAUAUAGUAUGCGUCUAAAUGCCACCAGUCUCAACGCUUGAGAAUUGAGGGUCCUCGGCAGAGAGGAUGACAAGCUGUUGAGAUAGAUCCUGAGGGCCACGGAAUGCUCGUGAGAAAGAUGGCAGGAUUUAUAAUAUGGUUGUGGGAGCGAUGAUUGGAAGAACCCAGUUGCCGGCCUUGGCGGCUGGCAUGGACCUGUUCGAAAGCCCCGUGGCUUGAGCAACGUCGGGAGCCUGCCAUAAUGUGGUAAGAUUCUGGCAUUCUUUAUUUAAUUAUCUUUCCUGUUGUUUACAAAGUCAAUUCUAUUUCGCAGUUCGGCUCUCACGUCGCUCCGCUCUCGUCAUGAGACGUGAGUUCAGAGCUGCGCGGCUGUUAUGGUUCACAAUAAUGCAGCCAUACGCUGGCAAGGGGUCUCCCAGAUUUCCCAUGAAAGACCUUGCCGGACGUCUCUAUGACCAGGUGAGGCAACAACCCUUGUUGUUACAGGCGUUAUGCACAUAGCUUGCUUUUGCGUGAUAAAUUAUGUUCACGAUCACUAAUCCAGGAGACAUGUGUGGAUGUUACAGUGUACAUGACCGUGGCUAAGGUGUCUACUCCUGACCCAACCCAAUUUUGUUGUCCACGCGCAAAUUUCCGCAGACGGUCAACGAGCAUAUGAUGUGGAUUUAGACGGCGGCGUUGCGCAGCCCAACUUGCUUGGCCUCUACCUACUUUAGCUCAUCGGUGAGAACGAUUACGCGUGAUUCGGUCUGGGUACGGAGGUCUCGAGACGCAAGUCAGGUCCGAACCAUGCGCGUUGAGCCCCUUGGGUAGAGAACCACUAGAGAACAUUUGCUAAAAACGGCAGUUGCUCUAUGCGCAGGUCAUGCAUGUCCACCUAUCUGCUCCCUUUCCUGUCUAUGGCUCGUCCAAUAUAUGUAUCUGCCUCACUUUGCAGGUCCCCUUCUUACUCUCCAUCUCUGUGCAGCUCCUUAGCCGUCCUGUCCGCUCCUGCCUUUUUCGUUCCCUUCAGGUCUGCUCGCGAGUAUGGCAAGUUGCUUGUGUUUGGCGUGUAUUGUUGAGGGCUCGACGGAGCUGCAGCCUCCACGACGUACCCAAGAGUUGUCGGGGACUGAGGCGCAGAGCUUGGAGAGAGCACUUACUGCUAUCGGCCGACCCUCCAGCCUGAUUUAAGACUGUCGACCAUCGCGUUUAUCUGCCUUACCUGACGGAGCCUGCAAGCUAUCUUAGGAUAGGUUGUGGGGUGAUCGGGCGAUGGAAUUAAGUAAAGGUUGCUGGUGAUGUGGUGUCGUAGCAAGGGAAUGAAUUUAUGUGCGCUGGGGAGCCGUCCCGUUGUGAGGAGCUUCACCGUUAGCGACACUCGGCCGGAGGGUGGUACCCCCGGAUGUAUGUAUGUACGUAUGUAUGUGGUCUGUGGACGCACCUCGGAAGGGCGUCACGGACAUCCUCGGUCUGUGGGUUAUUAUCCCACCGGAUCCAUUUGUUUGGAGUGUGGGCAGUGCCGUGUUUGGUGCCCCAGAUAUCCCAAUAUCCUGGUCUGUGGCCGGUCCCUUAUGUUCAGGGUUCAUCUGGUGUACCAGUGCCUGCCUGGAUCUGUGUUUUUAAGCAUGGCCAGGAAUCCAAUUCCUGCGGGCCCCUCCUGAAUGCGGGUUACGAGCGUGUAGGCUUGCUGCUAGGCUAUGGGGGCUAUGAGAAGCAUUCAGCCCCUUCUGCAUGCGUUCCUGGACAGCUUGAGACUGCUUCUGCACUAGGUUCCGUCGUGGCGCUAUCCACUGAGGCAUAAUGGCAAAAUUAAACACGCUGGCGCUUGGAUUCGAAAUACGCACAGUGCACAUGAGCGUCUCGUGCCGGUGUGGGGGAUAAAAAAGCAGCUGCAUUCCGGAUUUAACCUAUAUCCUUUGUUGUGGGGUCGGUUGUGCGGCGCUUCUGUUGCAUGUCUUGUCCCCGCCAGUUGGCGUCCGCAGUUGGCUGUCGCUACCAGGUGGGUCUAUGGACAGUCCGCUUUACCCGCUUGCCUGCCAAUUAACUUUUGCUCUGUUUUGUCCACCAAGCCGAACUAUGUGACGCGCCUUUUUGGAUUGCUGCUGGUGGAAUGCCGGUGUAUAGAAAGGGUUGAUGCUGUCGAGGAUUUUACCCCGGGUUUCUGUUUGCCUGCUUUCCUGAAAUCCUGGCGCUGGCCAUGUUGGCUCGGCUGCUUUUGGAUGAUUUUAUGUCCUGCGAGUUCCUCCGUGUCGCUGUGUGCCGUUGUCGGUCACUGCGUGUGUUAGAGGUGCCGCCUCCUUUUGAAGGUGAUAAUGAAGGUUUGCGGGUUUUACCGUCCCCUGAAUCGCAAAUAGUCUUUUUAUGCGAAUGUGUUUGAGCCUAUAGGGCUUCUCGCAUUUCGGACGAGUCGCUUAUGCGCCGUCACACCGAAAGAGGGCCCCCUUCCUGUUGUCGAUAAUCGAUGACGUUGGGGUCCAGAAUGAAUUUCCUGAGGCUUCAGCCAACCCGACGCCUAGUGGCUGUCGGGGAUGUGCUGAGUCAUACCGAAUGCCUCUCCGCCGGCAUGUGUUUGUACUUCCGCCCGAUUGUCGAUGGGGUCCUGUGUCGGAUUGUCGGGUCUUGUGAGCUCUGGAACAUUCCUCGUCACAUGCGUCUCGCUUGAUCUUUUGAUGGCAACGGCGCUAUGUUCAUAGUUCAGGUUCCACUUGCCGCCGCCGCCGCCGCCGCCGCCACCACCGUCUUUGUCGCGUCCCCUGUCAUGUACACACGGAAGGCGUAGGUUGUUGUGAGAGGAGGGGCUGAUGCUGCUGUCGUCUCCUCCGCCGUCGAGUCCACCUGGCAUGCAAUCGUGCGGCUGUGGCCCCAGGCCGCCGUUGCUACAGGAUCCGCGGUGGCGAUGCUCUUCAUGGCAGUAAGUCCCUCCUGCCCAGCUUACUAUUCGAGCUGCCGUUCACUGGUGGAUGCACAUGGCGACGUCUGCGUGGCCUGGUGGCUGCUGCGGCGGCGUUGUUUGGAAUCUUUCAUACGUCUACUUUCCGAGAGCUUACCAAGAUUUGACACGAGUACCAGGUGGGCCUGCUUGCUUUCGGGUUGCUUUGGAUUGGGGGAUGGACAGGGCAAGGAACCGAUUUGGCAAUUGACAUGACUGGGUCGGCCAAGAUUGCUGAGGUGUUACUGUGUUCUGUUCUGUCCGGGAAAAGUAUUACGCGUCCAUCCCUUUGGUUCCCCCCUAGCAGCAAUUGCCUUGCGCAUCGGGGUCUUCUGGGCUUCGCUCGCAGGACAACAAACACUUCAGAUGAUGUCCCCUCUUUGUAUGUAUGUAUGUGCUCUUCUUGCUGCGUGCGUCCAACAUCCCUCCCUGUCCUGUCACGCACAUACACAUGUCCCUCAGGAUGAUGGGCCUUUGCCGUGCUUCUGAUUUCCUCGUGCGGCGAGGGCCCUGAUACGUCGUCUGAAGACUGCAGUUUUCCUUGAUAAUCACGUCCACAGUGGCUUGUCACCGGCCGAGGCCAGUGAGAGCCCGGUCCGGGGUAUUGGCCACGGUCAGCGGUGUGUCGCAACUCAGUUGCGUCCGCCGCUGUGUUCUUGCCGUCUGAGCCCGGCCAGCCUCACCGCAAAUGGCGGUGUUUGGGCAUUGAUUGGUUUGAGGGCGAGUGCUAUGUAUCUCGAAAUGCGAGGACCUGCUCGGAGAGUCACCUGAUGCUGCUCGGCUUCAUUGAAGAGCGGCUAGGGUGGGUAGAUACUGAGAGUGUGCGGGGGGGGGUUUGGCAAGAGGGCGCCUGGGUUGCGCCGGGUCAGGGAUCUUAGGGUUUGUAGCAUGGGUGGGCGUUCUAAGUAUGAUUGGGCAUGAGAGUGGAUAGUGGUUCGGGGGUCACAGGGUAAGAUGUAGGCAUGGGCUGAAACGUAAAUGUGACGACUAGACAGGGGAUCUUGUGUGCAAAGACCGCAGCAGGGAUAAUGGUUGCAAGGGUGGCGGCAGCGGCAGUCCAGUGAUGAUCAGCCAAGUAGCAAUGCUUGGUCUGAACAGAGGUUUUUGAGCAGCUAGUUACUAGAGCGCUCCACAGCAUCCGCUGAUUGCGUCAGGUAAGCUCAACAGUAAGUUUGGCCUGGAUAGGCUGUUAAUGUUGUCCAGCUGAAGACGGCAGCUGUCGCCUGGAGGUAAGCUUUUGCACGUUGCAAUUCUUGUCGCCGUGCUAACAACGUUUCUAAACCGCAGGGGGGAUUAGUCUGUGCGCGUUUGGUUGCACAAAAUGAAAUAGGUGGACAUUGGGAUGUUGGUCUAACAUAUGCUGCGGGGAGCAGCUGGUAGAAGUGCUCCUGGGCUUCUGGUAGAAGUGACGGUGGAGGCGGCGGGCGGUCAAAUGUAUCCGUUUGAUAGCCCAGCCCAGAUAAAUAUGAUAAAUGUAAGACUUAAGUACUUUGCCAUUCGAACAUUUUCCCCACCGCUCUAGUGUCCUCUCGACAACAGCCACAUUGGUCACUAGGUAAGACAUAUCUCAGUUUACACUGAUAGUGAACGUUUGUCACACAGUUCGUUUAGGGAAACAACUACAGGGUGUCAGAAUGUGCGAGAAUGUCGGUAUCGAUUCAGGAAAUACAUAGUGCAGUCUGUCGUUUGGAUGUCGCCAAGGCCAAAGGGCCAUGAGGCUCUGGCGAAAGGAUGUCAGGGAGACAUGUCGAGUGAGGUCGGAGUAAUACAUACUAAUGGAACGUACAUAUGCUUGCGGCUCGGUGUUGGUGUCGAUGUCCACCCGCCGUCGAUGUGCACCAUUGCGUACUUCAUCAUUCACAUGAUGAUAACCUCGAUGUUUGUUGAGAUGGAAAGAUCGGCGCUGUCCAUAGAAAAAUAGCUCCUUGAUUAUCUCUUCUUGAUUAUCUCUUCUCUUCUAAAUUAUUAAAAAGAAUUCAAGCUUUUGGCUGUUGAAGGAUUUAGUAAUUAAGAAAAGUUGACAACUACAGCAAGAUAGCGGUACAAAUUUGUGCUGAUAUUUUAGAAGAGGCUUUUAAAUAAAAAAUUAGCUUACUCAUUCAUAUAUCUCACGUAACCUAAAUACGCCAUUCACGUCGAUUACGGCUUUUGCCUGUAGCUUACCGGCUUAUGUAAUAAUCUGUGUCCGUUAUAAUGUGGUGUAUACAUGACUACCUUGGACGAGCCAGCACCCUACUGUUUUUCUUAUUUCUUACACAGUAUUCUAAAGAAGACCGCCGAUGUGCCCUUGGGUGGGGCACUGGCGGCGUAAGGCGCUCAACUGGGGGUCGAUUACAUGUUCCUAGAGUGCAAUCAUGAUUGGCCGGCGGCUGGCAGCAGAAACAGCAGCAACAACAAGCUUACGAAGAACGGCCCAGAUAAAAAUAAUUAUUUCAGCCACGUGAUAUUGCUCCACCGUACGGGUUACAUGUACACAAGCCAUGUUCACCUGACUGUUGUACGGCGGAUGAUGUGUUGUUGUAGGUAUACAGGAAUUCACGGCAGUGACACCUGGUUUGACCCCCUCCGGGCUUCAUGCGGUGGGUUCGAGCCCCACAGAAAUCCAUUCAUGCCACGCGGCGGUAACCACCCGCGGUGUGACGGAGGUUCGUACACUGUGACGACCACAGCGACCGGGGAAUUUCCGAAUGGAGCUUUCCUAACCAAUACAAGUCGAAAAUCAGUUGUUAGUUAAUCCCUGUCCACCAGCGCAGAGCAGUUAUACCCAGACAAUGUUGUGUCAUACCAGCACUAUGCAGUAGCACAACCGCAAUGCAGUCGUACACGCUCCGUGCAGUCGUACGGCGGCGCAACAGAAUAAGAAAGAGGCACACUCGUUUUUCUCCCUCCGUAUGCAGGGCUCGUCCUUUCCAUGCCACCCAUCCACCCAUCCAUCCUGUCAACCAGCCGACGACGAAUAACAGAGACUGUCAAUAGGCACGCGUUCAGGUCUAGCAACCGAAAACGCCCCCAGGACCGAUCCCCAUCCUAGGACCGCAUCCUUGCUGUCGUUUCGACAAAGCAGACACAUCGGUCAGCGGAACGAUAACACGGAAGCACAACGUCAUCAGUGUUCAAUAUCAUUCCGCUGCUCACAAGUGCAGCUCUUUCAGAUUUGAUAUCGCUACACACACACACACACACACAUAAUUGCAAUCUCCUCCUACGUCUCAAUUACACCACCAAACAAAUCACUUCACUUCACUGCAACUAUAAUACUGCUGCUGCUGCUCUCCCUGCUAUAGCUAUACAAGUUGUUACAAGUUCCGCACGAAUGCAAGGUUGUCCGUCAACGCCAGGGGGCCCAAAAACAAAGCAAUGGCUAUAACACAGCUAUAACACCACACCACUUUUCCUACUGCUGUUGCUGCCUCGCCGUCUGGUGCUUCUGCUGCUUCUCCAGCGCCUCCGUCUCCUUCUGAAUGGCCCUUAGUCUCCCCAACAGCUGGGCCUUACCUUGGUUUGGGGGCUGCCGCUCCACAUCCGCAGCCAUACGGCCCAGAGCGGAAGCGAACCAGCGAUCAUUCAUGGACAACGUGCUCAGCAGGUCCGACCCGCCCGAGAUGUACAGCUGUAUGCACGUGCAUACAUGUACAUGCAUACAUACAUACGUACAUACAUAGGAAGGGUGACAUGGAGCGAUGUUGGGAAGGAUGGGUGGACGGCUGGACAGUGGUAAGUGAGGGGGCACAUGUGAGUCACAGGUAGGUGAAAGGAGAGACAUACAGUAAGAAAGUUACGACAAGCUUGCUUUACCAGAACAUGAAUCAACCACCCCACAAGUACGACUAGGAGUAUGAAUGCGAGUAUGCGUGUGGAUAGAAGUAACAAACAUGAACCCCUGAACACAACAUACAAAGCGCAAACAUGCAAACACACAAACAUCCAGUUCCACACCCACACCCACACCCACACCACACCUGCUUCCUCUCCGCCUCAGUUUCCGCGCGGAUGAGGUCGUUCAGGAGCUGCAGUUCCGGUCUCAGGCUCGAUUGCUUCACCUUCCACGCGGCUGUGAGGGCUCGCUCCAAGCGGUCGGCCACGUCAGCAUUGCCGUCCUUGCGCGCCUGCAGUGGUGGUGAGUCGGAUAGCGGUUGGGGGAGGAGGAGGUAGAUGAGACGUGAGAGGAGGUAGGAUGAGACAUCUUGCGGUGGUGCAGAAUAUUAAGGAUAUAUACGGAGGAGGAGGAGGAGGCAGGUAAACAAGGAACGGCGCUGAGAGAGCGGCCACCGAUGAGGUUGCCCCCUCAUCACCCUCGGAUAUGAUUAUGAUUACUGGAUGGGGCCCAAACCGGGAUCCAAAGAAAGGAAUGUUUUUCCACGUUUUUGGAGUGGUCUGUUUUUGGUCGUUUCGAAGCUGUUUUGUUGUUUGACAAAAGUUUGGCUUCAGUGCAUUUGGUGGUUUAUGGAUAUGGUGUUGACAAUAUGAAGGGUGGGGCAGCACCGGCGUUAGGGGAUAUGCCAGGGGGGGACGUGCUAGGGGUUUCAUAGAGGACAUGCCAGCAAGCGGCGACCAGCACCCGGGGGAGCUCCCCUCUGGCAAUGCAGUAAGUAGCUUUUCCGUUUGCAAGCGGCGAGCGAGGGAGAGACACGGAGAGAGAGAGAGCAGGAGAGAGAGAGCAGGAGAGAGAGAGAGGGGGAGAGAAAGGGAGAGAAAGGGAGGGGGGAGGUAGAGAGAGAGAGAGAGAGAGGGGGGGGGCCCGGAUAAUGCCCCGCUGCUGCUGCUGCAGAGGGGAGCCUUCAACAUACAUACUUUUGUCCUUACACAUAUACACAUCAUUGGAAUCGGGAUUGCAUCACGCACGAGGAAGAAGCGCAAAUUGCGAGUGCAGGCGGGGGGAAAGCCAUCGAGAAUUCAAAAAUGGAAGGGGAAUGUCCUGGAGGGAGGGAGGGAGGGAGGGACCGGUGGCCAAGAGCUCCCGUGGAGAGCUCUUGAUGCAUAGAGGUACGGCUUGGGAUUGGGUAGAUCUUGUUGCGAAUGCUCGCCGUGUCCGGAGCCCCCAGGAGGGCACCCCUAUACCACUGCGCUCUCGCCUCUCCAACCCCCUUGACCCUGCGUUGCCCCCUUCCUCUUCCCCCUUUCGCUCCGCGGGAACAAGAGAACUGAGGCCGCCCGUAGCUUCCCUCUAGCACCCCUUUCCUCUGCCCGCCCGAUAUGCCAUCCGAUCAACCACCUAGCCAUUUGGCAUCAAAUAGUGGAUCAAUACCUCCAACCGCAAACCCCACUAGCUAAAUCUCUGUGCACCUAUCGUAAAUGGCAGGAAUGUAUGGAUGCUAUUGGCGCUCUUUUAGCUGAUAUCCCAGCGAAUUGGAGACAGGCGGCUAGUCUUUUGUUGCCGCUGAGUGUAAAAUCUAGGGAAGCGAUGGUGCCCUCCAUCGAGUCGGUUACCCAAACCCUAGUGUCGAGGCUUGGUUGGAGAUGGGGUGUAGGGCCUCCAAUCAGAUUCCAACAUUUAUCCGCUAAAAUAGCGACUAAUAUGCAACUUUCACCUUUUUCGAUGGCUCGCCGUGUGGCCCAUACCCUCUUCAUCAAAGAGGCGACGGGCUCUUCUGAGAUAUUGGAUGAAGCUAUUCUUCUUUUGCAACGGACAUUCCAUCGUUUAUGGUUUCAUUUACGGUGGGAAAAUUAACAAAAAGAGGUUUGGUGGCGUCUCGCGGUUGAUGGGGUGCCUAUGUUAGGAAAUUCCCAUCUUAGGAUGUCGCGGCCAACAAUAUGUGGUUAUCCAGUAGAUUCAGUGGGAGGUGUAUCCCCUCGCUGUCAUCAUUUCUGGGCCUGUCCGGUGGCACAGGCAGUAGCAGAUCAACUUACUCUUUCAAUAGGAUUGCCAGUCUCAAGGGAGCAACUUUGGCUUGUCCAAGCCCCACAAUCAGUGCAACAAUGUGUUUGGGAUGUUGUGGCUCUUGCUGCGAUGUCAGCCAUGGAGCAUGGGAGACGUUAUAUGGCUGCAAACAUGAAAACCAACCCGGCACUGUUACCUGGCCCUUCCCUUACGGAAGAAGCCAUUUGUCAAGUUAUUGUUGACUUUUGGGGCCGCAUUCAGGGUUUCGCAGCUUUGGGAAUUCCACGGAAAGGUUGGGAUUCUGUUGGCGCACAUCACCCCUUCUUGAGAAUUAUAUCAGGCAAAUUGCUGUGCUCACGGGAGCGGUUACCGAUGAGCGGUUAAUUAUCUGAGGUGAUGGUCUCUAUUGGUAUAUUAGUCUCUACUGCAGUGCACGGCCAGCUGGCCCGAUGGCUCUACUCUUCGGGAGUCUGGAGCCCACUGUAACCACACCACACCACCUAGCCAAAGCCGGCCCCCGCCCGCCCGCCCGCCCGCCCUACCAGGGUGAGGUAGGCUGAGCCGGUCAUGAAGAAGUCCUCGUUUAGUCCCUCUAAGCUUUGACGGGCGACUCCGGUGGGGUCGGACGAUUCGAGCAGGCGGGCCAACAGGGCGGUGGAGCGCUGCUGGGAGAUGCGCGCCCCAUCCAGUCGGGAAAAUUGUGCAUCAGUUUUUGCAUCUUGUGGAGGUGGAGAGGACUUGGACGCGGCGCAGAUGGGAAUGGAGAUGGAGGUGGUGAUGGGCGUAAAGAAGGUAUGGCGGCUGCGGAGGAGUGCGGCACGUUGAUUGUUAUUGAUCCUUCUGUUGUUGCCGAGCCGCAUCACGUCAGGUGCCCCUGCAUGGGGAAGGAUGCAAGGACGACAUUUGGUUUCGUUCCGUUCAGUUGUCUGAACAGUAAAAAUAUUUCGGAAAGACAUAUUGCAUGCAAAAUUUAUUCCUAUAAAGAGCAUCAAAUAGAGUACCAAAGGGCGGACAAUGCCAAUUCACCAGAGUUGCAUGAACGUUGACACACCGGGACGCAAUUUUGCCGACUGUAGCGGCUCGACAUAGCAUCGCCUCAGCAGCAUCGCUAACGUCCUCUAGAAAUUUUGGGAUUUUAUGUGCCAAUCAUAGGGUAGACUGCCUAAAAGCUGUCAGCCAGCAUGAACGAACCGGAGUACGACACGUAUUGCCUCUUUUGUGACGGGAAUCACAUUGUUCUACAAACCCUAUUGCUCCUUCUAAUCCGCAAGCCAAAUACCGGAAGCAGUAUUGGUUAUGAAACGAUGUGUUCUUGACUAACAACAUGGAUACUGACCUCGAAAGAUACGACCGGUAUGCUGCCAGUGGACAGAGUGGAGUUUGUAACAGUGGCCAACUGGGGUUUGCCGCACUACAUCUAUCUGAGCGGGCUUGCUCCAAUGGACCUGACUGGACUGCUCUGCCGGAGGGAGUUUUCCUUUAUAUCAGUCGUUUCCUGGAUCCUCACACAAUCAGCAAUGCUCGAGCGGUUUGCAGGCCUUGGCGGAGGGCGUUUAGCCUGAACGUCCACACCGCACGGUUAGAAAUCCGCGAGCAUAGGGCAGCGCAAGCUCGGACCUUCAUGCGGGCGUUUGUCCGGGCGUUUCCUUAUACAACAAAACUCGUGCUAGACAUAACAUUUCGUCGAACCGCGCGCGAGAAAAUCCAGACCGCGCUCGAGGAGCACUUCCUGGCGCUGCAGGACUUUGGUCUCCAGGUGCUGCAGCUGAACCUGGAUCUUAAUUCUUUUAACGAACGAAAGAUCAAGCUCCUGGAUGUUUCCUUGCUGGCAUCUUGGGGCCAUCUGACACGGCUCGUCCUGCAGGUAGGCCCUGGGCGGUACGCCCCGCCGUGCUCUCGCGCGAAAGAGGAAGGAAUCACAAAACUUCACUCCCAGGAACCCACCUGCAGCCUCGUCAUUCUGACACAUAAACCAGCACACGCCCAACAGAAUCAAAGCCCUGGUCGUCUCACGGUUUCCUAUUUUGUACUUUCAGACCUCGCGAGAGCGGGAAUAAGUUGAAGUUGGUGGUGUCAUUUGAAGUUUGGAGCAGGGGUGCAGUGCAGCAACACGGCACCAAAGCAAGCAGCAGCUGCAUGCCGUCGCCACGUCAGCAUACACACCGUCACCAUCUUACAACCCACGCCGACCAACAAGCAAGGCCCAGCAACCCCCCGUUUCAACAUCACCUGAUUACCAGCCCCUUCCUACCGCAUGACCACACACAUCCCGGAGCUCCCCUGUCUUCCUAGGUGGACCUGCGAUCUGGGUUCUUUCCAUUCGCUCGUCCAUUUGCGAAUUCUGUACGGGGCAUGUACUGGGACCUGACCCUUCUUCCGCUGUUUACAUGCGUAUACGCGUGUGUAUUGUAUAUGCGUUGUCCCUUUCGCGUAGUUAUGGUGGUGUGUAUGUAUGUAUGUAUGGGUGGGUGGGUGGGUGGGUGGGUGGGCUUAUGAUUUGCAUCUCCUCAAAUGGAUUAUUCCCUCAUCAUGAGGAUACAUGCAUACGUACAUACAUACGCCCCUAACCACUUAGCAUCCCACAAUCGCCGCGCGGCCAUCACUUCUGUUUCUGUCCCUCUCUCUCCACGUAUGUGGCCCCCCCACACACACGCAAAGGAAUCCGGGUGGCGGUCCCAGCAGCUGCGAGUGGACGCCAACACCGUCUUCUCCAGCCUGCCUGCCCUCCAGGAGCUGUCCGUGGUGUGCAAAUACUCGGGUCAUGUGAAGGCCAAGUGGUGGAGACCGCCGCCGCCAUCUAACCAUCAACACAAGGUGCCGACGGCACUAGGGAAGGAGCGGCGGGGAGCGGCGGCAGCGGCAGCAGCGGCGGGGACGAGACGCAUUCCAACGUGGCCGCCGGCAGCUGCCGCCGCCCCGAGCCGCAACCACGGCGGCGGUGCUGUUAGCGGCAGCACCAGCACCAGCAGCAUUGGCAUAAACGGCGGCGGCAGCGGCGGUGCUGCUGGGUCCGGUAUGUUGUUGUCGGGCCCUAUGGGGGCUGCUGGGGGCCCCCCGUUGGCGGAUCCGCACCCCAGUAACGAGACGGCGGCGGCGGGGGUCGCCGGAGGGUCACGAGAGCUCGGAUGUCUCCCAUGUGACCGGAGACCGGAGCGGUGGCCUCUAGAGCAGUGGCCUCCAGGAUUUGCGGCAGUCUUGGUUUCAGGGGGGGACGGAGGUGAUGCGGCCAUGGAUGGUGUCGCAGCAGCCGCAGCUGCUACGAACUCUGUUGCUCCGGUGACACAGCCGCCACCACCAUCCGCACCGGGCGCUUGUCAGUUUCAGAGUUUAGGGGGAAUAGGGGGAAAUCAACCAAUGAUGGUGGGUCAUGCUGCCGACGCUACAGCUGCGUCGGUAGCGGUUGCAGCAGCAUCCGCAGCCCUACAUGAAGGUGAUGGGGUGGGGGUGGGUGGAGGGCUGCUGGCGCCGUCAACGAUGGCACCGAUGGGCUUUGGGGCUGGUGCCGUGGUGGCACCGUUGCCGGUUGCCGUACGGCCGUUGGUGACUCAGCAUUUGCGGUGUCAGCUUACGCAGAAUCAGAGCAUGUCGGGAGAGCUACAGAAGGCGCUUAAGAGGAUCACGCCGGCCUUGCAGGUGCGCGUGUUUUUUGUGUGUGUUUUGGAGGGUCGAGAAAGAGAAGUGACGGGCACAACGGUGGACAAGCACGGACAAGACGGGAGGGACGCUGUUGUUGUUGUUGUCACUCUGUCAUUUUCCAUCACAUGCAUUUUGGAACGUCUGCAUUAUUUUUUCCAAUACCGUCAUUUUUUCCCUUUUCCCCUACCCCCUACCCUAUCCUUCACACCUACUUCCCCUCUCCUCCCUAUCCCUCUCUCGGGUCUGUCUGCCAACACACCCCCACGGCCCGCAGCAACACGUCUCCGCACUUACCUUUGAAAUCGUGGAGGAGACCUACCCUGAGCCCUCCCGCUGCGCCACCCCCCUGGAGCUUUCCGCCCUCCCUGGACUCAAAUCCCUGACCGUACUGUCCGGCGCCGAAGACGCCCUCUCCCACUCCAAACUCGACCUCGUGGGGGCGACCGGUCUGGAGACCUUGGUGCUGUUCGACGUCUCGUGCGGGUGUUGGUGCUACAAGAAACCCGGGCACGGCAUUCCGCCGCGGCUGCUGUCGGCGCCGCCGGCGUACUUGCGGAGCCUGACGGUGGUCGGUUUUGUCGUUGAUCAGUGUCAGAACCUGCACGCGCUGUCGUUGCUAACCAGCCUGGAGGAGCUGCGGUUAGAGCAGCCGGACCCGGAUUGCUUGGCGGCGGUGGCGGGAGAGCUGCUGCUGACGUGGCUGCCGUCGAAUCUUAGAAGCUUGAAGCUUCAUUCCGUGGUGCUGCCGCCGUGCGGGGUGCCGUCGUCAUCCGUGGCGGCGGCGGAGGCCGCGAUGGCGGGAGGGGCGGCGGGGCCGGCGGCGGCGGGGCUGCCGACGGGCUGGUUCGGCGGCGCAGGGUGCGGCAUGGACACGGCGGCCACAGCCGGCGGCGAAUGCAGCAGCAGCAGCAACAGCAACAACGCUUCGCAGCUCUUGUACGGCGUGGCACCCGUGGCGCCGCUGCCUCAGCUUCGUGAGUUGUACCUGUCCAAGUGCAAGGUCCCCACCCUGGGGCUGCUGGGGGUGUGCUCGCAGCUGACGGCGCUGGGGGUCAUCAACUGCCUCAGCAGCAGCGGCAUGAUGCCGGCCGCCGCCGCCAUGCCGGCGUUACGGUCCCUUGCCGUGAUAUAUACUUUGCCACCGGAGCAGGAAUACGGCAGUGGCGGAGUAGUUCUGUCCGGCAUGAUGCCGCCGCCAGCCUUCGCCGCCGCCGCCGCCGCUGCCGUCGCCGGCCCAUUUGGGGCGGCGGCGCCUGCCGCCAGCACGGCGGCUGCCAGAGGUGGCGGCGGCGGCGCCGCUGCCGCGGUUCCGAUCACGGUUGCUUCCACCGCCGCUGCAGACUUCGGCGGCGGCGGCGGCAGUAUCUUGGCUUGGUCCGGCGCUACCGCGGCGGCGACGACGGCAAUGCCGGCCGCCAUGCCUCAGCAGCAGCAGCACGUGCCGGGGCUGCUACUGCCGCCAGUCGUAUGGGGCAGCGACGAGCAGGUGGCGGCGGUGGCUGGGUGUCGUACAGUCACGUCUCUGGAGCUAAUCCUUCCUCGCGGCACCGCCGGCGCCGCCGCCGUGGCGUCUCUGGCGUCGUUGACGGACCUCUUGGAGCUGGAUGUCGCAUUACCUUGCGGGCUGAGCUGCUGCAUGAUGGGCCUGGCAAGACUCGGAAGGAGCAGCGGCGGGCGGCUGCGGCGGUUGACGUUGUGGGUCGACGGUCGUACAUGCGUUAAUCGGGAAAAUGCACGACAGCUGCAGGUCUGGCGGUGUGUGUGUGUGUGGGGGGGGGGAAGGCAACGGGACGUUGGGGAUUUUUUUUCUAUUUGAUGUCCUGUAUAAUUUGCAUGUUUUACAUAAUAGGCGUUUAAAGCAGACAUUUUAUAAUGUUAUAAUAGAACUACUCUUAUGUUGUAAUACAAUUUACGCGUUGUUUACGCGUAGUGGUUGACUUCUUUGCAGCGACUGGUAACUUUGGAGCUUGGGCGAUGUAUGGUUGAGGGUAGAUCGGCAGCAGCAGUGGCAGUGGCAGCAGCAGCAGUGGCAGCAGCAUUUUCUCUCUUUCCUCUCUUCUUGGCUUCUCUCCCUCCCCCCCCCGGCCGGUGAAUACAUUUGGUGGGUUGGCAUCUCCAAAUCCUCCCCCAGUCGUGCCGCCGCCUCAGAUUCCCUUUUAACGCGCCCCGUUCCCCUCACCUCACCCCCUCACCCCUCCACGCACACAAAUAGGCACUUCAACGCAGUCUGCAAACCCGCAUGCCGGACACGGCGGUGGAGUGGGCGGGAGCGGAGUCCCGACAGGGCAGCUGGACGCGGCUUGAGGCCAGGGUAUUCAACCCACACUGACAAUCUGACACCCCCUCUGAACUCGUCUUGAAGCAGCAGACCGACGGACAGACAGACAGAAACGCAUUCCAGUUAUACGAGUGGAGCAGACCAUUAGAAUCACUAUAUAUAUAUACGGAGUGGGCCUUAUAGAAAGACGAAAAAGUGGUUUGAAGAGGUUAGGGAGUACCGGCGUGAUGCUGUGUAAUGGGGGGGGAGACUGGGCAGUGGAGCACGUGGAGGGGGGUUAAGGCACGUGUUUGUGUGGUUGUGUAGUGCUAUGUGUCGGAAAGGGGGGAGCUGUUGGGGGAGUGAACGUCGACGAAACGGGCGAGGCUUGUGCUGAGCGCGGGGGUUGUUGAGGAGGACGUGGGUGUGCGUGUGUACGGGGGGAGGGUAAAGUGCGGUGGGCUUUAGGAGGGGAGGGGAGGAGGAGGAUGGGGAGGGGUGUCUGUCCGGGAAUUAGGGGUUUGGGGCGGUGUUCACAUGACAUGACAUGACGGGGUGCCUUUAGGGCGAAUUGACUGCCGUACAUCGUAAGCUCCGAAACUGGGACCACCGAACCCCCCCGGCAGCUUUCCUGAAUUCUACCCUCCUGCCGCUGCUGCUGCUGCUGCCGCUGCUCGUGUGCAGUUCACAUCACCACUUUCACGAUGGGGAUGGUAAUGUCAAACUUCAUGACGCUCGUCGCGCUGUGUGGGACAAAGUCAGCUGUUUUUGCGUAUGUGUGUCGGAGAGGGGGAGGGGUAAGAGGUGGUGUGUAUGUAUGUACGUACGUAUGCAUGUAUUUAUGUCCUCAAGAAGGAUUUCGCCUCCUGCUGUAUCCACCCUUUGAUUUGGUUCUCUUUCACUGCUUCGACGAAGUACCCGAACCCCACCUCUACAGAGAUCUUGACUGCACAAUUGGUUUGCGUUCCAAAGUCGUCCUCCCCGCGAGUCUGGAAAACAAUUUUUCCAUCUUUGUUUUUCUCUCACCUCCCGAGUAACAGCCAUGGUAUCCUCUUACCUUCUUUUGGGAGUUCGUCGUCCUUUCCUUGGUUUGCUUGUGUUUAUGCGUUUUUUUGUGCUCAUGGAGCUUUCCCCUCCCCACUGUCAAUAUUACUGAACAACAUCUUUCAACACUGCUCGGGGGCUCGGGAACAGUGUCACGGUUUCUCACCCUCCCCCUCCUCCUCGACGAUGUAUUCGCUCCUCCCCCGCCUUCCCCCGUCAAGUCGGGCGCUUGAUGUGAAUCGUGACUGAAGCGCAGUGC
This 41154-nucleotide long non-coding RNA is filed under the name Volvox carteri. RNAcentral's name for it is "long non-coding RNA (VCAR_LNC001507)". The record is from RNAcentral. Lineage: Eukaryota; Viridiplantae; Chlorophyta; Chlorophyceae; Chlamydomonadales; Volvocaceae.